UCUUCAUCUCUUCUCAGCUGGGCACGGGAUGUGGGCCUCCUUGAUCCUCAAUGUCUUUGAAGUGAUGCAAAUCUUGAGUGUAACUAAGCUGACUCUUUUCUUCCAGCUGGCAGUUUCACUCUAAAGACUUCAGUCCAGCUAAAUCUGGGGAAGAGAAUGAAGGUGGAGACUUGUGCACAUCUGAAGCUGCUGUUUCUAGGUGGUCUUCAGGUUCACGUAGCCAGAGCUGAGCAUUCCUGGGAACAAGGCAUCAGAUGAAAAAUCGAAAAGCGAAAAACCCAAUGAAGGGAGGCUUUAAGUGGUCAAACAAGCAGUAUGAUCCUCAGGGUAUGGAUAUACUUUGAACCUGAUUUAUCCACCAAGUAUUCUUAAUUUUGGCUAUUCCAAAAGAUUCUCUGUCUGUAUCAAGGUGAGCUCUCGGGGAUCUGCUGUGGUUUAGAUGAAUAAGAAGUCAUUGAAAUAUCUUGUUCGUAGCAUAAACAAGAACUGUCUUUCU
RNAcentral lists this long non-coding RNA (496 nucleotides) under Numida meleagris (helmeted guineafowl). RNAcentral's name for it is "lncRNA (ENSNMEG00000022813.1)". Lineage: Eukaryota; Metazoa; Chordata; Aves; Galliformes; Numididae. The record is from RNAcentral.